UUAAGUUGUUUUUACUUUUAUUUUUAUUGAUUAGUUAUUUAUUUGAAAUAUCUUUAUUUUUAGUAUUUUACAGAAUUUAUUUUAUUAGUUAUAGUUUAUUUUACUGUGAGGGUUUAUUUUUAUUAUGGUAUAAGUAGGAUUUUACUUCCGUACCUUUUGCAUCAGGGUUUAUUUAAAUUUUUUAGUUAUUUACUAGGUUUCCCGAGAUUGGGAGAGAUAAAUCAGAAUGAUUGGUUUUUGUAAUAACAAGAUUUGUAAUUCUGAUUUAGGGGUGAUAUAUUAUUCGUUCCUAAUGUUAUCUGGUUCUUUAAGAAUUGUAUUUAAUACAGGAAUUUAUUUUUAUUAAUUAAAUUAAUUACUUUAAGUUCUUAAUUUAGAAGGGAUUAGCUUUCUAGGUUUCCUAUAGUGUAUUUUUGAAUGAGAGUUUGUAGGCUUGGAAAUAGUCUUUUUAGUUUGUUAUAAUUAUCUCUUACUUGAUUUUUAUUUAUUUUGUGCUUAGAUAUUUAUUAAAGUUCUUACUUUAAUUUAUUAAUUGAGGUAAUAAUGAUAGAAUUAGUAGUACUGUCAAUUGAGAUUUAGGAACUCGGCAAUUUUAGCUCUCGCCUGUUUAUCAAAAACAUGGUCUAUUGUAUAUUUAUUUUAGAUCUGACCUGCCCAAUGAUUUUAUUGAAUGGCCGCAGUAUACUGACUGUGCAAAGGUAGCAUAAUCAAUUGUCUUUUAAUUGGAGGCUUGCAUGAAUGGUUUGACGAGGGGCUGUCUUUCUUAAUUUUAUUUUAUGAAUUUAAUUUAUUAGUUCAAAAGCUAAUAUUUGUUUGUAGGACGAGAAGACCCUGUAGAAUUUUAUAUUCUAUUUUUUAUUUUGUUUUAUUUUUAUUUCAUUAUAGUUGAUAUAGUAUUUUGUUGGGGUGACAGAGUAAUUUCAAGAACUUACUUUGAUUUGUUUCACUGAUUAGUGUUUUAUUGAUCCUGAUUUUUGGAGAGAAAGAACUAAUUACCUCAGGGAUAACAGCGUAAUUUUUUCGGAGAGUUCAUAUCGAUGAAGGAGAUUGCGACCUCGAUGUUGGAUUAAAGUUAGUGUAAGGUGUAGCAGUCUUAUUAUUAGGNNNNNNNNUAACACAUUUACAAAAUGUAUUUCAUUAUAGUUGAUAUAGUAUUUUGUUGGGGUGACAGAGUAAUUUCAAGAACUUACUUUGAUUUGUUUCACUGAUUAGUGUUUUAUUGAUCCUGAUUUUUGGAGAGAAAGAACUAAUUACCUCAGGGAUAACAGCGUAAUUUUUUCGGAGAGUUCAUAUCGAUGAAGGAGAUUGCGACCUCGAUGUUGGAUUAAAGUUAGUAUAAGGUGUAGCAGUCUUAUUACUUGGUCUGUUCGACCAUUGAUUCUUUACAUGAUCUGAGUUCAGACCGGCGUGAGCCAGGUCGGUUUCUAUCCACAUAUAGUUGUAAUACUUUAGUACGAAAGGACCAAGUAUUAGGAAUAGUUUCUUUAUUUAUGAAUCUUAUUAAUU
This 1506-nucleotide ribosomal RNA is filed under the name Neuroctenus yunnanensis. Its description in RNAcentral is "16S ribosomal RNA". The stretch from base 1261 to 1419 matches the Rfam family "Bacterial large subunit ribosomal RNA", at positions 2473 to 2632 of the family's 2925-position model. Lineage: Eukaryota; Metazoa; Arthropoda; Insecta; Hemiptera; Aradidae. The record is from RNAcentral.